UUGCAGCAGCCAAAGCCACUGG
RNAcentral lists this unclassified non-coding RNA (22 nucleotides) under Chlamydomonas reinhardtii. Its description in RNAcentral is "small RNA Cre_3935". Lineage: Eukaryota; Viridiplantae; Chlorophyta; Chlorophyceae; Chlamydomonadales; Chlamydomonadaceae. The record is from RNAcentral.